This 904-nucleotide ribosomal RNA is filed under the name Salmonella enterica. RNAcentral's name for it is "partial 23S ribosomal RNA". It matches the Rfam family "Bacterial large subunit ribosomal RNA", at positions 711 to 1616 of the family's 2925-position model. The record is from RNAcentral. Lineage: Bacteria; Pseudomonadati; Pseudomonadota; Gammaproteobacteria; Enterobacterales; Enterobacteriaceae.
AGACCCGAAACCCGGUGAUCUAGCCAUGGGCAGGUUGAAGGUUGGGUAACACUAACUGGAGGACCGAACCGACUAAUGUUGAAAAAUUAGCGGAUGACCUGUGGCUGGGGGUGAAAGGCCAAUCAAACCGGGAGAUAGCUGGUUCUCCCCGAAAGCUAUUUAGGUAGCGCCUCGUGAAUUCAUCUCCGGGGGUAGAGCACUGUUUCGGCUAGGGGGCCAUCCCGGCUUACCAACCCGAUGCAAACUGCGAAUACCGGAGAAUGUUAUCACGGGAGACACACGGCGGGUGCUAACGUCCGUCGUGAAGAGGGAAACAACCCAGACCGCCAGCUAAGGUCCCAAAGUCAUGGUUAAGUGGGAAACGAUGUGGGAAGGCCCAGACAGCCAGGAUGUUGGCUUAGAAGCAGCCAUCAUUUAAAGAAAGCGUAAUAGCUCACUGGUCGAGUCGGCCUGCGCGGAAGAUGUAACGGGGCUAAACCAUGCACCGAAGCUGCGGCAGCGACACUGUGUGUUGUUGGGUAGGGGAGCGUUCUGUAAGCCUGCGAAGGUGGCCUGUGAGGGUUGCUGGAGGUAUCAGAAGUGCGAAUGCUGACAUAAGUAACGAUAAAGCGGGUGAAAAGCCCGCUCGCCGGAAGACCAAGGGUUCCUGUCCAACGUUAAUCGGGGCAGGGUGAGUCGACCCCUAAGGCGAGGCCGAAAGGCGUAGUCGAUGGGAAACGGGUUAAUAUUCCCGUACUUGGUGUUACUGCGAAGGGGGGACGGAGAAGGCUAUGUUGGCCGGGCGACGGUUGUCCCGGUUUAAGCGUGUAGGCUGGUUUUCCAGGCAAAUCCGGAAAAUCAAGGCUGAGGCGUGACGACGAGGCACUACGGUGCUGAAGCAACAAAUGCCCUGCUUCCAGGAAAA